UACCAGCUCCCCGAGUGGUCUGGACGAUUAUUGGGCCUAAAGCAUCCGUAGCCGGUUCUACAAGUCUUCCGUUAAAUCCACCUGCUUAACAGAUGGGCUGCGGAGGAUACUAUAGAGCUAGGAGGCGGGAGAGGCAAGCGGUACUUAGUGGGUAGGGGUAAAAUCCGUUGAUCCAUUGAAGACCACCAGUGGCGAAGGCGGCUUGCCAGAACGCACUCGACGGUGAGGGAUGAAAGCUGGGGGAGCAAACCGG
RNAcentral lists this ribosomal RNA (253 nucleotides) under uncultured bacterium. Its description in RNAcentral is "partial 16S ribosomal RNA". It matches the Rfam family "Archaeal small subunit ribosomal RNA", at positions 474 to 727 of the family's 1478-position model. The record is from RNAcentral.